Vespa mandarinia (Asian giant hornet) is the source of this 5039-nucleotide long non-coding RNA. RefSeq lists it as uncharacterized. The record is from RefSeq and is a predicted model, not a curated record. NCBI's taxonomy places the organism in Eukaryota, Metazoa, Arthropoda, Insecta, Hymenoptera, Vespidae.
ACCUCCUUCUUCCAAUUAAUGUGACGCACUUUUAAAAAGUUAUCUCGUAAAUUUCUGUUGAGAAUUCGUCGAGGGAUAAGCGUGUGUUUCGACGCGACGCAUUCUCUCUCUCUCUCUCUCUCUCCUUCUCUCUUGUACAUAUACACAUUCAGUCGCGUUAUACAGUCUGUCGCGACGAGAAAUGGCGGAGACACGAGAGAAGGUGGCGGGUCUUUCUACAUUUACUUCUGUCCUACGGAAUCAUUACUACGUCUCGAGUUAAGCGAAGCGAGAACGCCCGUUGACGGCAGCCGUUGAUGCGUUAAAGAUCGUCAAGGCGGCCCAUUCAUAACUCGUGCAUCGUAAUUGACGAGCCAUGUGAAAGGAGGAUCGUCGACGAGCAAAUCUUAUCGCUUGGUAUUAUGAAAAUUUUUGCGUUACGUCUAACGGUUAUUCUGAUAUGAAGUCUUCUGGUAUGAAGUAUUCUGGAAACGAGUCUUGAACGAAGCUCGCGAAAGAAAAGACAUCUUUUUUCUCUUUCUAUUUUUUUUUUUAUUUAUUUAUUAUAUAGACUUCCUUUCGUUAACGUUCGUAAGAUGUUCAUUGAAUAAUACUAGGUGAUUAUUAUAAUUUAUUGUGAAUACGGCCAACUCUUUUGAUAGUAUUAUCAAUGGAAUCAGAAGUUAGAUCGGUUCGAACCGGACAAUUCUGUUCGAACGACAUUAUAAUAAUUUAGCAGCGAACCGUACCGAAGGCAUACGAUUGGCUGGUCGAACAUGCAUGAUCGGUUCGUAUUCGAUGCGAAAUUGAUGCAAUUCAGGAUGGUAGAUGCAAACUGAAUGUGUAGACAUAGAGCGAGAUAGUUAUUGAAUUGUUCUGUUUUUUUCCUCUCUCUCUCUCUCUCUCUCUCUCUCUCUCUGUCGAUAAAAAUAUAAUUUUUGAAUAUAAACGAACAAAUCUCUAGUCCAUUCGUUUAGAAACUCUUGAAAUUACAAAAACAAAUACCUUUUUAUCUCUUUUCUUUUAAACGAACUAAUUUAAAGGCAAAUAGUAUUAAUCGACAUCAAAGGAUCAACAGGGAAGAGAGUCUUUUUUUUUUUUCUUUUUUCCCCGAUAAGAACCAAUAUCCGGCAAUAAAUGUAUUUCGAUUAUCCUUUUAAAAGCUAUUAUAGGAUCAGUGAAGAGUAUUCGCUCGUGCAUUAGCUCGUUUAUACAAUAUUAUAUAAUGUUCUAUCGUACUGUUCUAAUAUAAUAAAAAAUUAAUACUAACGAAAUGAUCGAUCUUGCUCUCGAAGAUAUUCUGUUAAUUGAGCCGGUAAGUUGGCAUAAAGGAAAGAAAACGAUAUAGAAAGUAAUCUUAACGGUGCAACUGUGCAAAGGUGAAGGGAAACGUUCUAGUUUUCAAGAUGAAAAUAGAAUCCUGAAACGAUCAAAGAUUUCACGGGAUAAUAAAUACGAUUGUAUCGAUGGUACUCGAAAAUGUAACGGUGAUGUUGCCAAUUAAGCGAAGACUAAACUCUACUUGAUUUGCCUUUCGUUCUAUAUAUAUAUAUACGUAUGUAGUAUAUAAGUAGUAUAUAUCUAUAUGGUUUAAUCUUGAACAGUCAUAUUGAUUUAUCAGAUUCUCGGUAAUCGUACUCUACGUUCAAUGGACUUUGAUAUACUCCGAUAUGUUCUCUACAACAGGAAAAAUUAUAUACAUAUAUAAAAUAUAUUACAUAUAUGUAUGUAUAUAUACUGUGUAUAUAUACAUAUAUAGUAUAUAUGUAUAUGUCUGGAUACAUGUAUGUGUGUAUGUAUAUAUAUAUGUGUAUAGAUACUGUAUGCGGUGCUACUCAGUUACCGAUCGUUCGCACCGUUUCACCUCUUCUCAUCCUUUUCCCUCUGUUCCUCCUCCAGCUCGUUCCUUCCUGACAACGUGUAUCCGGUUACACCCCUAAACCCUCGCAGCUUGGUGUUAAAUGUGAGCUGACAGAAACACGUGUAACUUUCAAUUGACUGAGCAGUCACUUGAAGAUUUGCAACGGGGUUCCUUAAUUGGGUUAAACGAAUUUGGUCGGAUCGUGUGCACUGUCCACGAGUAUAUAUACACAUACGCCCCCUAACGCGUUUUACCAAAGUAAGAGUUUAAGAGCCGAAGGACGGCUUCGUAUUGUGUAUUGGUGCGAUAAGACGAGUGGGACGACGUUGGUUAUUCUAAAGGGUUGUAACAUUUUCGAAGGGUCGAAAUUAAAGACAGGCACACGUAGGAUAAACGAACCCCUCCAACGAAAUCUAUUUCGACGCUCCAUUGGUGUACGAUUGUAAAAAUGAAAAAAAAAAUGAAAGGGUUACGAGGAUAAAUGGGGUGUACGAUCUGAUUUACUCUGCUGAGAAAAGAAAAAACAUAGAAGAAAAAAGAAUACAAUUCAAGGAAUCUUUGUUAUAUUCGGGGUAACGAAAUAUAAUCGCCGAAAGAGAUAGAUUUUAUUUUAAUCAAAGACGUUCUACAGUCGAUAUUGCUAUUUCGUAGGGAAAAGUGUUCAGACUGGAAGUUAAAGCAUUUUCAAUAUCAACAUCUCGUCGUAGUCGUGGUGUAUCAUCGAAUUGAAAAAGAGGAAACGACGAGGUAGAGGGUUGGAGUGAGAGCGAAUUCGAGACAAGCGACCGUCUGUCUAUCUAUCUGUCUGUCUGUCUGUAUGUCUGUCUGUCUGUCUGGCUGGCUGGCUGGCUGGCUGGCUGGCUGGCUGGCUGGCUGCUUGGCUGGGCUGACUGACUGGCGGAGGAGGAUUCGUUAUGAGGCAAGGCUUCCCUUGCUUUAAUGGAAUAAAGCACCGGAAAAAAAGUACCGCCUUCCUCUCGCGGGAUUCCGCUUGUAAACGAUAUUAUUACGAGGUCGCGCUUAAAUAUCUCUGUGCCUUCAUCAUCCUGCCGAGGACUUUCUAUUUAGUUUGAUGGCGUAGAAAGGGGAUGAAGUUUUCGCCCUCCCCGAUACCGGCCACCUCUUUAUAAUCCAUGCUUCAUUCGGCAUGUAAUAUCGUUGAAUGCUUUUAGAAGGAAUAUACAUACAUACAUAUAUGCAUAUAUACGUCCAUACAUAUAUACAUAUAUAUAUAUAUACAUAUAUUUUAAAUGAACAGAUUCGAAUGCUAUUUACUAAUAAAAUCGUUAUGAAAUGAGAAAAUACGUUCGUGGUUUCUCUUUUGUUUCUAUUAUUUAUAUUUUUUGAAUCAACGAAUUUAUUAUUUAUAAAUUGAUUCUUGAAAUCUAUAGCAAUAUAAGAAUAAGACAAAGAAUGAUUGAAUCGAUAAGAAAGAAAAUGACAAAUGUAUAGAAGAUUUAUAAAAAGUGAUAUAUAAUCGUGCGAAUAGAACAAAAUGGGAAACGAAUUGAAAAGAGAUAUGAUUGAUUACGAGAAAUGUUUUAAAAAUCAUUAUCGUCAAGAUAUAUCAUCUUUCGAUGGUUCUAUUAUCUUUAAUAUGAUUUGUUACACAAGUAAUAACGAAAAUGGUUUCAUAUCAAAAUAAAGAAUGAAAUAAUUCGAAGAACAACAGAACGAAAUAAUUCGAAGAACAAGAGAACGAAGAAAAAGAAUACGUCGAAGUAACGAAGAAACUUUUCGAGCAUCCUUCAAAUUUUGAUAGAAAAAUUGUGUUUAAUAUCUGCGACAUUAUUAUUGUCGAUCGAUUGAAUUCUUUGAUUUAUACAUCGAAGAUUCUAUAAUUUAAGUGAAAAACAAGAAAGUCUAUCGAUAGAAAAUAAAUUGUCAAUUCCCUUUAAAUUUAUUUUAAUUAAUUUUAUGGAUGACAGAAAUGAGCGAAAAUCGUUUGCAAAUAAAAUGUAAUAUUACACUUAUUUCCAGACAGUUUUAUCGUAUGGGUAAUGAUUUUCAACCGCGACUCGUUUGUUAUAUACGUAAUUAUAUUCUAUAGGUUACGUUAAUUAAUAAACAGUAAUGGCUGUGUAAUAAAGGUUAUGAAGCUGCCACGUCGAUUUAAUUGCAAGCACUAUAUGUUCUACCCGGCUCGAGGACAUUUUUAUACGUACUAACGCGUCGGAAGUACUUCGUUAGCUCGAGUAUUAAUCGAGACAGUCGUAUGUUGCUAAUAUAUACUUACUACAGGAGAUUAGGAUUAAUGGAAAAGUAAAUAUUUUAUAGCAUUAGUUAAUCGUAUAUGAUUUAGUUAGUAAAAAAAUCUCUGAACGAUUUUGAUCCAAGUUUUGAAAUAUUUGACUUUAAAUUAAUGUAACCAAUAUAUUUACGAAAAGUACGAAGAUUGACCCUUUGAAUGUAAGCGAACAAUCGGGGUGACUUCGAUAAGAUCCCUUUCGCUUUGCUCGUGCAAAACAGAAUCGUAAAGUUCACUGGUUGUACGGCCUUGGAACGUCGUAUAGUAAAUUGAUAGCGAUAAGAUCUGCUCGUCUCUUGGUUUAUUUGGUCGUAGAGACACGACUCCGAGGGCUGUGGCUAUGUACCGGCCAAAUGGCAAGAUUAUUUUAAGGCGUAUCUCGCUCUUAUGCGAUUUCACGAAGCACCGUCAACGAGAAGAACCUCGACGUCUGUGGUUUUCACUAAGACCCAGAGUAAGAUUCACCAUGAAGAAGAGAGUACUUUCGACGUAAGAAAAAGAACCGUGUCUGCUGAUGGUUUCUUUGCGAUAUCUUUCCGGAGCCAACUCGCAACCAGUAUUCAAGGAAAAGCCAUUGCGAGAGCCAUUUUCCGUGAACAGUGAGAGAUGUCGCCUUUGAGAUAGACCACAGACCUCUGCGAAUAAACGAACCAUACUUGUCUAGGGGGUUUAAGGAAGUUGCUACUCAGUCAGUUUCUUAACUCUUAACAGGGCAGCGGACCGUCCUUGGAACAUUUUGUACGUUUCGUUAUAAUCUAUUAGAAUUGGAUUUUAACUUUGAACUUACUAUCGAACUCAAUACAGAUCCAAUGAGAUCUUUUAAAAUACUUUUUUGCAUAAGAAAAUCGAGAGAUAAGGUGUCGGGUAGUAACGCGAAAACUUCUCUUAUCAUUAUCGAACUUGGUUUAAGAAAUCUUGUUAAGAAGAUCUUUCCAAGGAUUUAAUUCGAUA